CAUAUAUGGAGAUGAGAAGGGGCAAUCUGUUCAUCUGAAGCUUCAAAGUUAAGAAGACUGAAUUAUUUCAGUCCAUUUAUCGAUGUUUUUUCAUAUGCAUUUUCCCUGCUGAGAAGGUUUUAACCUAGUUUUUCCACCAAAGAGAAGGAAAAAAAUAAACAGUCAUUUACAGUAAAAACAUGAAAUUAGAGAGGAUCUUGCAACUAGGUAAGAUCCAUUUCCAGUCUCAUACCCAACCAGGAAACUUCAGCUACAAGUUCACAGCAUCAGUGCAGCUUUGAAAAUGGUCAGCCAUGAAGGUUUGUCUGAAACCUGGAAACCACAGCAUUCAACAAGAGCUGAAUAUAAAGUAUUUGUGCUAAUUGACAGUGACAUUAACAUAGAAAAUUUCACUGCAGCAAUUACACAUUCUAUUUUAAACAAUAUUUGUAAAGUAAAGGGUGAUUUUCUGCCAGGAGAAAAUCCAGCAGGUAGGUACAGGAAGCUAGUUUAUUUUCUUGUGCAGAAAUCUGUGGUGCCCAGCAGUUUGUUAUCGUUGUCACUCUCGAAAGAUAUAAGGAUGGCUUUCAACCAUAUAAUAUCAGAACCAGAUAAAACAGCUAACAGGAAUACACUAUCUAUAAAAACUGCAAUAAAAAACCUGUUUUGUUACCACCUGCUUAUGUUGAAUAUAGCUGUUGGCUCCAACAGUGUUCUAUGAUACUUUUUAUUGUGUUGAAAUUCUAUAAAAUUUGAUCACCGCUUGGUCGAAGCUAACAAUACAUUUAAGACAUGCUUGGCACAAAUGAACACUUUAACAUUCUUGGCUAUACCACAAUUAUUUUUAAAAGUUCUGUUCUGCAUUGUUUGUGUAGUUUCAAAAUAUUUGAAGCUGUUCUAGUUUCUAUUGUCCCCAGCCAGCAGCAUUUUGUUUGUGCUAUUUCAGCCCACGUACCAAGUCAAAUUUCAUAUUUCCACUCACCCAAAACUCUCUUUGAAUUCAGUUCUUUUACUUUAUCCUUCCAAAUAGUGUAUGAUAGCCAAUUAUUUCCAAAAACUCUUAUUGUAAAUAUGAUUGUGUAACAAUAUUACAUAUACAAGCAUGGGCAGCUGGAUGGAUUUUCAGGGGUCUCUUUACUGAAAUUUGUUGUCUGUACAAAAAAGAAUACUGAGUUUGUUGUGAAACCAGUUCUUAAACUAAACCAGUUUAUAGCUCAGUAUUUUAAAGAAUUAGCUGAAGAAUUAGCAGUGGCUUGCAUUCAGAAUUCACCACCCUAUCAGGGACACACAUUACAGAAAACUGAUGAAAAGCUGUUAAUCUCUUUGGAGUAGUUUGGUGUAAUUCCUUAAUGUCAAGAGAUCCUGAGAGUCAAAGUCUGGAAUGUAGCUAAUUAUUUCCUCUCAGUAAAACUGGAUUUGCACAGCUUUGCAAAACAUAAUUGAAAAUAUACCUCAUAUCUGCUAGUAUUUAUAAAAAUUAAAGAAUAAAUGUGAUAGAAAUAUUGCUGUAUAGUAGCA
Anser brachyrhynchus (Pink-footed goose) is the source of this 1497-nucleotide long non-coding RNA. The record is from Ensembl. Lineage: Eukaryota; Metazoa; Chordata; Aves; Anseriformes; Anatidae.